GGAGUUAGACAUGGGCAUGUUUUCUGCCUGAUGGAUCACCAGUCAGAACACAUGUCAAUGCCUAGAUCCAUGGUGCAAUUAACCUACACUAUCAUAGUUUGUAUCUUUUGUGGGACAGUGUGUAUACACGAUUCCCACAGGACCACUGGCUGGGGCAACUGAUCUAACCUAAGUUGCAUUCGUAUUUAAGAAAUACAAUAGCUGCAUCUGAAAGUAAAUAAAAUUAACACAAAUAAACAACACAUGUUAUUUAUCAUAAAACUCAUGACCAAAUAUUUAAAAAAAAACCACUUUUUUCUUGCAUAAAAACAGGUAGAUAUAUAGAGCA
RNAcentral lists this long non-coding RNA (328 nucleotides) under Mytilus galloprovincialis (Mediterranean mussel). The record is from RNAcentral. Lineage: Eukaryota; Metazoa; Mollusca; Bivalvia; Mytilida; Mytilidae.